GAACGUAGGGUCCAAGCGUUGUCCGGAUUUACUGGGCGUAAAGAGCGCGUAGGCGGUCUUGUAAGUGUGAAGUGAAAUCUCCAGGGCUCGAACCCGGAAACUGCUUUACAUACUGCAAGACUAGAAGUGGAUGCAGAGGUUUGUGGAAUUCCUGGUGUAACGGUGAAAUGAUGUUGAUAUCAGGAGGAACACCCAUGGCGAAGGCAGCAACGUGGCAUCGAACUGACGC
Molecule: ribosomal RNA, 229 nt
Filed under: uncultured bacterium
Lineage: Bacteria
Description: partial 16S ribosomal RNA
Rfam family: Bacterial small subunit ribosomal RNA
Source: RNAcentral